CCUACGGGGGGCACCAGUGGGGAAUAUUGCACAAUGGGCGCAAGCCUGACGCAGCCAUGCCGCGUGUAUGAAGAAGGCCUUCGGGUUGUAAAGUACUUUCAGCGGGGAGGAAGGCGAUAUGGUUAAUAACCUUGUCGAUUGACGUUACCCGCAGAAGAAGCACCGGCUAACUCCGUGCCAGCAGCCGCGGUAAUACGGAGGGUGCAAGCGUUAAUCGGAAUUACUGGGCGUAAAGCGCACGCAGGCGGUCUGUCAAGUCGGAUGUGAAAUCCCCGGGCUCAACCUGGGAACUGCAUUCGAAACUGGCAGGCUAGAGUCUUGUAGAGGGGGGUAGAAUUCCAGGUGUAGCGGUGAAAUGCGUAGAGAUCUGAAGGAAUACCGGUGGCGAAGGCGGCCCCCUGGACAGAUACUGACACUCAGAUGCGAAAGCGUGGGGAGCAAACAGGAUUAGAUACCCGUGUAGUC
This 465-nucleotide ribosomal RNA is filed under the name uncultured bacterium. RNAcentral's name for it is "bacterial SSU rRNA". It matches the Rfam family "Bacterial small subunit ribosomal RNA", at positions 338 to 795 of the family's 1533-position model. The record is from RNAcentral.